CGGAGGGUGCGAGCGUUGUCCGGAAUCAUUGGGCGUAAAGGGCGCGUAGGUGGCCCGGUCAGUCCGUGGUGAAAGCGCGGGGCUCAACCCUGCGUCGGCCAUGGAUACUGCCGCGGCUCGAGCACUGUAGAGGCAGGCGGAAUUCCGGGUGUAGCGGUGGAAUGCGUAGAGAUCCGGAAGAACACCGGUGGCGAGGGCGGCCUGCUGGGCAGUUUGGCUGACACUGAGGCGCGACAGCGUGGGGAGCAAACAGGAUUAGAUACCCUGGUAGUCCACGCCGUAAACGAUGGGCACUAGGCGCUUGGGGGAGCGACCCCCCGAGGGCCGGCGCUAACGCAUUAAGUGCCCCGCCUGGGGAGUACGGCCGCAAGGCUG
RNAcentral lists this ribosomal RNA (375 nucleotides) under uncultured organism. RNAcentral's name for it is "bacterial SSU rRNA". It matches the Rfam family "Bacterial small subunit ribosomal RNA", at positions 526 to 896 of the family's 1533-position model. The record is from RNAcentral.